Molecule: ribosomal RNA, 468 nt
Filed under: uncultured bacterium
Lineage: Bacteria
Description: partial 16S ribosomal RNA
Rfam family: Bacterial small subunit ribosomal RNA
Source: RNAcentral
GACGAACGCUGGCGGCGUGCUUAACACAUGCAAGUCGAACGGAAAGGCCCUGCUUUUGUGGGGUGCUCGAGUGGCGAACGGGUGAGUAACACGUGAGUAACCUGCCCUUGACUUUGGGAUAACUUCAGGAAACUGGGGCUAAUACCGGAUAGGAGCUCCUGCUGCAUGGUGGGGGUUGGAAAGUUUCGGCGGUUGGGGAUGGACUCGCGGCUUAUCAGCUUGUUGGUGGGGUAGUGGCUUACCAAGGCUUUGACGGGUAGCCGGCCUGAGAGGGUGACCGGCCACCUUGCGACUGCGAUACGAACCAGACUCCUACGGGAGGCAGCAGUGGGGAAUAUUGCAGAAUGGGCGGACGCCUGAUGCAGCAACGCCGCGUGCGGGAUGACGGCCUUCGGGUUGUAAACCGCUUUCGCCUGUGACGAAGCGUGAGUGACGGUAAUGGGUCAAGAAGCACCGGCUAACUACGUG